RNAcentral lists this ribosomal RNA (433 nucleotides) under uncultured bacterium. RNAcentral describes it as "partial 16S ribosomal RNA". It matches the Rfam family "Bacterial small subunit ribosomal RNA", at positions 29 to 507 of the family's 1533-position model. The record is from RNAcentral.
AACGAACGCUGGCGGCAUGCCUAACACAUGCAAGUCGAACGAGACCUUCGGGUCUAGUGGCGCACGGGUGCGUAACGCGUGGGAACCUGCCCUUAGGUUCGGAAUAACUCCCCGAAAGGGGUGCUAAUACCGGAUAAUGUCUUCGGACCAAAGAUUUAUCGCCUUUGGAUGGGCCCGCGUUGGAUUAGCUAGUUGGUAGGGUAAAAGCCUACCAAGGCGACGAUCCAUAGCUGGUCUGAGAGGAUGAUCAGCCACACUGGGACUAAGACACGGCUCAGACUCCUACGGGAGGCAGCAGUGGGGAAUAUUGGACAAUGGGCGAAAGCCUGAUCCAGCAAUGCCGCGUGAGUGAUGAAGGCCUUAGGGUUGUAAAGCUCUUUUACCCGGGAUGAUAAUGACAGUACCGGGAGAAUAAGCUCCGGCUAACUCCGUG